AUGCAAGUCGAGCGGUAGAGAGAAGCUUGCUUCUCUUGAGAGCGGCGGACGGGUGAGUAAUGCCUAGGAAUCUGCCUGGUAGUGGGGGAUAACGUUCGGAAACGGACGCUAAUACCGCAUACGUCCUACGGGAGAAAGCAGGGGACCUUCGGGCCUUGCGCUAUCAGAUGAGCCUAGGUCGGAUUAGCUAGUUGGUGAGGUAAUGGCUCACCAAGGCGACGAUCCGUAACUGGUCUGAGAGGAUGAUCAGUCACACUGGAACUGAGACACGGUCCAGACUCCUACGGGAGGCAGCAGUGGGGAAUAUUGGACAAUGGGCGAAAGCCUGAUCCAGCCAUGCCGCGUGUGUGAAGAAGGUCUUCGGAUUGUAAAGCACUUUAAGUUGGGAGGAAGGGUUGUAGAUUAAUACUCUGCAAUUUUGACGUUACCGACAGAAUAAGCACCGGCUAACUCUGUGCCAGCAGCCGCGGUAAUACAGAGGGUGCAAGCGUUAAUCGGAAUUACUGGGCGUAAAGCGCGCGUAGGUGGUUUGUUAAGUUGGAUGUGAAAUCCCCGGGCUCAACCUGGGAACUGCAUUCAAAACUGACUGACUAGAGUAUGGUAGAGGGUGGUGGAAUUUCCUGUGUAGCGGUGAAAUGCGUAGAUAUAGGAAGGAACACCAGUGGCGAAGGCGACCACCUGGACUAAUACUGACACUGAGGUGCGAAAGCGUGGGGAGCAAACAGGAUUAGAUACCCUGGUAGUCCACGCCGUAAACGAUGUCAACU
This 767-nucleotide ribosomal RNA is filed under the name bacterium LGM43. RNAcentral's name for it is "bacterial SSU rRNA". It matches the Rfam family "Bacterial small subunit ribosomal RNA", at positions 55 to 817 of the family's 1533-position model. The record is from RNAcentral.